UCUGGCUCAGGAUGAACGCUAGCUACAGGCUUAACACAUGCAAGUCGAGGGGCAGCAUUAGAUUAGCUUGCUAAUUAGAUGGCGACCGGCGCACGGGUGAGUAACGCGUAUCCAACCUUCCCCCUGCUCAGGGAUAGCCCGGUAGAAACCGGAUUAAGACCUGAUAGUUUCACUAGAUGGCAUCUGACGGUGAAUAAAGGUUUCGGCAAGGGAUGGGGAUGCGUCUGAUUAGCUUGUUGGCGGGUAACGGCCCACCAAGGCGACGAUCAGUAGGGGUUCUGAGAGGAAGGUCCCCCACAUUGGAACUGAGACACGGUCCAAACUCCUACGGGAGGCAGCAGUGAGGAAUAUUGGUCAAUGGGCGGAAGCCUGAACCAGCCAAGUAGCGUGCAAGGAAGACGGCCCUAUGGGUGUAAACUGCUUUUGUGCGGGAAUAAAGUCAGGGACGCGUCCCUGUUUGCAUGUACCGCAAGAAUAAGGACCGGCUAAUUCCGUGCCAGCAGCUGC
Molecule: ribosomal RNA, 507 nt
Filed under: uncultured bacterium
Lineage: Bacteria
Description: bacterial SSU rRNA
Rfam family: Bacterial small subunit ribosomal RNA
Source: RNAcentral